Molecule: long non-coding RNA, 1597 nt
Organism: Carassius auratus (goldfish)
Lineage: Eukaryota; Metazoa; Chordata; Actinopteri; Cypriniformes; Cyprinidae
Exons: 3
Source: RefSeq, a predicted model, not a curated record
ACCCAGCAAGCAAUAGCCGUCAUUUCAACGUCUGGGUUAAAUAUAGACCAGAUAUAGUCCGGCUAUGUGUAACCCACUUUUAGCCCAAAUAACAUUUAAUCUGGAUAAAUGUAUUUUUUUUGCAAAAUAACUUGUGAGAUGUAUGAUAUUCCAUCAUGUACACAGAGUCUAACGUGAUUACAAGUUGUUUGGUUUACUUUAUUUUACAUGUUAUAUGUGUAGGCUGUGCGUAGCCACGAUUUAGCUCGUAUUCAGACCCGGCUAUUGUAGCCCACUUUUUGUCAAAACUGAUUAAUUGUAUUUUUUUGCCAGGCAGUGCAUGAAAUGGUUAAUAUUCAAUCAUGUUCGCAUUGGUAUGAUAUCAAGGUUCAAUACGUCAUUUCACGGCAUGGUAGAUCACGAUUUAGCUCCGAAUUGGACGGGCUAUAUGCGGUCUGCUUUAGCCCACCUGGCGAAAUCAUUGCAAUCUGGGCUCAGAUUUAGACCAGCGACCUAGAAUAUUAGUCUUUGAAAUGUUUUCGCUUACACAGCUUAAUAUAUAUUUUCUGUCAAACAUUCAUACACAAUCUACGAUAAAAAUAUCUAAUCAAAUGCAAUUGCAUUUCCCAACCGCUAGAUGGCACAAUUGAAACACUACUGAGACAUGUCUACUGGAACUAAUGCCAUUGCGUGACUAGAUCACUUAAGCCAAAUCUCGCGAUAAACAUUUCCGCCAUUUUAUUUUACACGAGGCAGCUGUCGGAGUGCAACGGGUGAGCAACAGUCUGAGUGAAAACCUUCACAUUUCUACUUCGAUCUUAAGAAAGCCAUACAGGUUUGGAACCAAGUGAAAACGCAGUGAUGACCAGCUUUCCAUCAGCUAUGGAAUGUGAAAUAAAAAAUGCUAUUUCUAAUCAUUUCAAACAAGCACCAGGGAGGGCAGGGGGUGGGGGUUAUGGAUCUAAAGUAAACAGUUAAUUCUUAAAAAUUAAUUGUUUUACAUAUUUUUCCAAUGUUUUAUUUGUUCAUUUUUAUGUUUGAAUGUUGUCCAAGUUGUUGUUGUCUAUAUAAUUGUUCAAAAUAAAUCCCUUUAUAUUCAAUUUGUUUGGAUGGAUUUUAAUUUAUGAGAACCUGUUAUAUUUGAGUGAAAAGAAUCCUUAUGCCUCAUUUUGUUGUCUAUUACAUGUAUAUGUAGUGUAAUGGAUGACUAGUCUAUUCUUGGGCUAUGGUUAGACGUCUAUUAGAUUUUCACUGACAGCCCAAAAUCAGCCUUGUUUUAGCCUAGACCCAUAUUGCCUGUCUAUUAGACGUAUGUAGUUGUUUAGCGGUCUAAUUGAUGACUAGUCUAUUCUUGGGCUAUGUUUAGACGUCUAUUGGACGUAUAAAUAUAGUCGUUCAAUAGCUGUCUGAUUGUCUAUUCUUGGGCUAUGGUUAGACAUCUAUUAGACGUAUAUAUGUAGUCAUUUAAUAGCUGUCUAUUCUUGGGGUAUGUUUAGACGUCUAUUAGAUUUUCACUGACAGCCCAAAAUUAGCCUCGAUUUAGCCUAGACGUCUCGGCUGUGUUUAGACGGCUAUUAGACGUCUAUUAGACGCAAAAUUGCUUGCUGGGAAGUACUUU